RNAcentral lists this non-coding RNA (292 nucleotides) under Beta vulgaris subsp. vulgaris (sugar beet). RNAcentral describes it as "Bacterial large subunit ribosomal RNA". It matches the Rfam family "Bacterial large subunit ribosomal RNA", at positions 2728 to 2925 of the family's 2925-position model. The record is from Rfam by way of RNAcentral. Lineage: Eukaryota; Viridiplantae; Streptophyta; Magnoliopsida; Caryophyllales; Amaranthaceae.
CCCACGGUAAAUGCUGGGUAGCAAAGUGCGGAGCGGAUAACUGCUUAAAGCAUCUAAGUAGUAAGCCCACCCCAAGAUGAGUGCUCUCCUAUUCCGAAUUCCCCAGAGCCGCCGAUAGCACAACUAAGGCAGCGACGGGUUCACUGCCCCUGCGUUGUGGGGGUAGAGCGCCAUAAGUUUUGAAAGAGCAAGUCACGACGAGAUGAGUCGUUUAUCAUUAUGAUAGGUGUCAAGUGGAAGUGUAGUGAUGUAUGCAGCUGAGGCAUCCUAACAGACCGAUAGAGUUGAACCU